AUAUUAGAUAUGUAUAUACUAUUAUAUGUAAUAACUUCAUGAACAAUGUGGAAAUUUCUAAAUCUUCAAGAUUUGUAGAAAGCACAUAGUGUUUUGUUUUAUGCUCAUAAUGCAAUAAAGAUACUAGAAUGAUGAAGAAUAUUAAUAUGAUUAUAGAAAGACAUGCAUAUUGGAUUGGUGUGCCGAAUGCUUCUCACAGGUGUGAAUGGGGGUGGAAUCACCGGCUGAGCCUCACAGGGUCUUGUGGCGUUGACGGCUUCCGAGAUGCCCCUCUCCUCCGCAACCCUAACCCUACUCUGCUCUGCCUUCGUCCUCCUCCGCUCCUUUGCCUUUCCCCCGCCCUCCUCAUCUUCCUUCGUCUUCAUUCCUCUCGUGACUCUCGCCACGCCCUUCCUUCCCCAUGCCUGCAAUCUAACGCAUCACUGCCAUCUCCACCACCACGCCACUUGCACUGGAACCCGCCCCUUCCCUCGCCUUCCGUUUCUCUGCCUGCCUGCCUCCCUCCCUCCCAGGUAUGUAUGUUUGCUCUUCUCACCUUUCUUCUCUUGCUCUUUCGAUCUUUGUUUCUGCACAGUGCUCCCUCCUCCAGUGCGGCAAUCCGGAUCUCACAAUUCCCAUCCAAAUCUGCUUUCUCAUUCCAUCUCAUAUCCAUCGUCUGUUAACUCCUUUACACUCCUCCACUUGCCUGAUUUCAUGGCGUUCUGGGGAUCUCUUUGCAGCCCCGGGUUGGUGUGCCGCAUGCUUCUCAAUUUUGAUUGUUCCCAAUUCUUAGGUCCAACUUUGCAAAUUCAUAUUCUUAGGUCCAGUUCAAACUUAAGUUACCGUAGGCUGAUCUGUUAUCUCAUCAGCAAUUCGUUUCUAGUUAGGAGGGUCUGCAUGCAAUUUUUUUUAAUUUUUUGCGAAUGUUCCUUUUUUUUUUUAUCGGGAACGAGGGUCUAUCGAUCUGUACCGUGUCACUUUCGUUGCUGUGGUUAACUGUAUGUUUGUCAAGUACAUGCCUAUAGCUGUAUGUUUGAAACGGAGAAUAUUUUUCAGAAUUCGAUAUCCAAUCACAUGCAUGGUUUUCAGACUGUUUGGAAUGUAAUAUGAAUUUCCGCCCUUCUUUGUGCUCUACAUAGCGGCCAAAAGUUGUGUUAAUUUACGUUCUGGAUGACUGUGCAGUCAUGGAAUAGAUCCCCAGGCUGCCUUUCUCAUAGCAGAAGCCUUGUUCUUUGCGUGGUGGAUGUGUGGCAUAUACGCAGGCUUAUUUCGGCAAGAGUUACAAAGGAGAUACCACCUCCAGGUCAAUUAUUUUCAUACAAUCUUGUUUUUAGUUCUGUGUGUAAAUCGAUUGUUUAUGAUGAAUCCAUGACACGUAUUUUACCAUCCUAAUGCUUUGGGGGAUGGGUAGUAUAUGCACAAUUUCCAGGUAGUAUAUCCCGUUGUCAAAGAACUGAGUAUGACAUAAACACGGCUAGUGGCUGAUUUGUAUAAUGUGCCAUUGCUGCAGAACUGUCCAUGCGAACCGUGUACCGUCCAUUGCUGUUUGCACUGGUAUGCACUAUGUCAGGAUGCAGGCACGUUUAUCGGACAACGUGGUGAUGCCCAUGACUGUUAUCAAUCCUCCGCCUUAGCAACAGAUUAAUUUUGAAGAAUCCGCAACAGCAAGCGACUCGAAGCCUGCCCAGAUACAAGAUACAGGCUUCAUAACGAUCUAUAUUCUGAGCUGGUGAUAUUGAAUCUUAAUCCUUUAUGAGGUAGGAGCUCAGUUCAACAAGAAUUGCUUAUCGUGCUUGAUAUCCAAUUCAAUUGGUGCACCUUCCUCCCCAUAUUGAUCGAAACAACUAUGUAGUUUGUUUGGAAUAAUAGGAGAAAAUCAACUUAGGUGACGGUUAAACCAUUUACAUCCUGAAAUUUCAAGCCUUACAGGCCUCAUAAUUCAUUGGGUUGAAAAAUAGUGUUUGAAUGGUUUUCUAAUUACCUCAAUCCCUUGUGCAUUCUCUUCAAGUACCCUUUAUAAGUUGGGUUAAAUGACAACAAGCAACUAGUAAGCAACUAGUAAGAAACGCAUCAUUUGCAUUUGGAAUGGGUACGCCAACUCGUAUUACAUUUAAUUUUCUAUCCUACAAAUUGAAUUUAUAUUUCUAAAGCUAAACCAUCAAUCUUAAAUAAUUCAAUUAAGCAAGUGAACAUAUAUAUCAACAUUUUGAAUAUUGUGAGGACAAGCCAUUAGGAUUAUUUAAGAUUGAUGGUUUAGCUUUAGAAAUAUAAAUUCAAUUUGUAGGAUAGAAAAUUGUAUGGUUUGUGGGAUAAUAUGGUUGAAAGAGUGAUUAGGAUUAUUUAAGAUUGAUGGUUUAGCUUUAGAAAUAUAAAUUCAAUUUUUAGGAUAGAAAAUUGUAUGGUUUGUGGGAUAAUAUGGUUGAAAGAGUGUUUGAUAAGUACUUUUGAAAUACCAAACAAAUCUAACAUAUAAUUUUCAACAGGUGGUGAGAAGGUGAAAUUGGAUCUGAUUUUCAUUAAUUCAUCAUGGAAUAUCUUUUGGAAUUAUUCAAGCAUCAUAUAAUCAUGAUUUGGAGCUUUUUAUAUGGUUUUUUCAUGUCAAGAUUUUCAAGCACCAUAGAAAAACAUGACAAAAUAUCAAGUAUGCAAGGUAUUUUUGGAGAUACUUGGGAAGGAUCUGAAGUUUAUAUUGGAGCAUUUGAGGUUUUAUUAAACAAAAAUAACUUAUUGAAUAAAAACCAAUGUGCACAUUUGUGUAAGAAAAUUGGACAUGUUACUAAGGUUUUUGACCACCUAAUGACUUGCACCAAUGGUGGAUUGGAGUUUAGGCUUUUAAUGAGUGAGUUGUUUUUUAUACUAACUAAAUCUUAUUUUUUAGUUGAAAAUUGUGGGAAACCAAAUUGGUGUAAAGAAGCUAUCCUUCAAUUAAAUAACAAAGAGACUUUUAGAGAAUUACUUUUGGAUUUGAAAUGUUGUUGUGAUAUAGCAAGUGAUAUACUUUUAAAGAAUUAUUCUAAAAAACUUGAAGACAUCUCAUUUGCUACUUUUAAUGUUGCAACAUAUGAAGAAGUAGAAGGUGAUGUUAAAGUUGUACAUGAGAGGUUGAUUCAUGCAAAUGGAAUAGAUGAUUUUGAAUAUUGUGGACUAGCAAAGCAUCUAUUAAAGAGAUUAGAAGAUUUACUUUAUAUAGAUGAUGAGGAAUUGGAUGAUUUAAAUCUAUCAUCUAACAUAGAGAGUCUUCAAUUCAUAAAUAGAAUAAGUGAAGGAAGUUUUGGAGCGGUUUAUGAAUCAAAGUGGUUGGGAGUUUUAUGUGCAAUCAAAAAGAUGGAUGUUGCAUUUAACAAGUUUUUUAAAAGAGAAGUGACCAUUUUAGCCAAUUUAUGCCACCCCAACUUGAUAACAUAUUAUUUUGCAAUGAAAGGUCAUGCAAAUGAAAGUGGUGAAUCUUUUGAGUUAGUAGUUAAAAAAGACUAUUUGUAUAUUGGCAUGGAAUUGAUGCAAACAAAUUUAAAUGACAUGUUGGAAAAUACAAAGCAAACAUCUUAUGUUUUUCUUAUUGAUAUUAUAUAUCAAAUUGCAAAAGGGAUGUGUUACUUGCAUGACAUGCACAUUGCACAUCGUGAUUUAAAACCUCAAAACAUUUUGGUUAAUGUCAUAGAGAUAAAAGUUAUGAAUAAGGUUAUUCAACAUGCUAUUGUGAAAGUGAUAGAUUUUGGAAUAUCUAAGAUUGAAGUUGGAAGUAAUCCAGAAACCACAAAGAAUGAAGUACCUUAUGGUACUGUUGCAUAUAUGGCCCCUGAGGUAUUGAAAAGCAAGUUUGAAACAACAACAAUGUGUCCUUUUGAAGCAGAUGUUUAUUCAUUUGCAAUAGUAUGCUCUAAGAUUCUUUCAAAAAGAGACCCAUUUGAUGGUGUUUAUAAGAUGGAAGCAAUAUUAGAAAGAAUUGAAAAAGGUGAAAGACCAAAGUUACCUUCAAAUUGUAAUGAGUUGAUUGAGCUUAUCCAAGAGUGUUGGAUGUUGAAUCCUUUGCAUCGGCCAAAGUUUGCAAAUAUUUGUAAAAGAUUGGACUUAAUAAAGAAAAAGUUUUUAGUUGGAAUUGAAGUGGCAAAUGCACCAUAUUUUGGAGAAUCAAAUAAGAAUUGUCAUCAAAGCAAAAGAUUUCAGCUAAUACAUAAUGGAUUGCCAUUGGUAAGACUUAUACUAGAAACCAAAGUAAAUAUGUCUUUGAUUAAAUGUAUUAAUUAUUAUUUAUAGUUUUUUUCUCACUCUUCUUUAAAUUAAUGGUGUUUACAUGCCUUUGUAUGAACUCAAGUUAGUAAGACUAAAUUAAAAUGUAAUAUAUGUAUCAUUCUUAUUUUUUUUGUUAAUUUGUGGUUAAAUUUGUUAAUUGUAGGUUGAAUCAUCUGGAGAGGAAAUAUUUGGUAGAGCACAAUAUUUAUCCCAAAUUAGAAAACUAUGUGCAAAUAAAGUGAAGGUAUUGUAUCUUGUCGGAAUGGGUGGAAUAGGCAAGACCACAAUAGCAAAGACUACAUUGAUUAAUGUAAAAAACAUGUAUAAUGCCUCAUGCUUUGUUGAGUGCAUUGAAAGUGGAGGUGAUUGCUAUACAACUUCUUGCAAUAUCUUAGAACAAUUUCAAGUCAAAGAAAAACCAAAAGAUGUAAAAGAAGCUCAUAAAAUAUUAAAAUCAUUUUUAACUAAGAACAAAAUAAUUUUGGUGUUUGACAAUAUAAAGAAUCAAAGUCAAAUUGAAGAUGUUGUGCCUAUGGAUGACAUAUUUGCUAGCAUUGGUAGCACAUUGAUUGCAACAACUCGAGAUUCAAAUGUAAUGAAGGAUUGUGGCAAAGAGAUUCAUAAAAUAAAUAUUGAAGAACUUGAUGAAGAAACAAGUAUGAAGAUGUUUAUUACUCAUUCAUGUGGCCAAGAAAGUCUACCUAUUGAACUCAUUGAGGUUGGCAAAAGAAUUGUAAGAGCUUGUAAUGGCCUACCAUUGAGUCUAAAAGUUAUGGGAGCAUUUUUAAGAGAGAAGAAAAGGUUGAGAUGUUGGGAGCGAGCUUUACAAAAGUUGAAAAGGGGAAGAAAGUUGGAUGGAGAUGAAAACAAUAGUAACUACAAGAUUUGGAAGAUAUUAAGAGUAAGCUUUGACAAUUUGAAAGUAGAAGAAAAGAAAAUGUUUUUGGACAUAUGUUGUUUCUUUUGUAAUGAUGUUUGUCCACAAGGCAUGUCAAAAGGAAGAGCUUUGCGAAUAUGGAUCAAUAAUCAAAAAAACAUAUUAGAACAUGAAAUAGAAUUUACUUUAAAUGCAUUGAUUUAUCAAUCAUUGAUAAAAUUAGACAAAGAUGGAAUUAUAAGAGUACAUGAUCAACUACGAGACAUGGGUAGGAAUAUUGUUGAAGAAGAAAUGGAGUAUAAAUAUACAAGAAUGUGGAACUUGAAUAUAGAUCCAUUUUAUGGAUUAUCAAACAAGGUAAUUUUACUAAAUUAUUAUAUAAAUUACAUGUAGAAAAUUGAUAAUAAUAUAAAUGAAUCAACAUUUAAAGAAUAGAAUUUUCAGUUUUUAUAUUAUGUAAUUUUUAUUUUGUUUCUUUAGAUGUAUGUUGAUGUAAAAUUAUUGUGUAAAAAAAAUAAUCUUCUAUUGUAAUUAGAUUUGUAUGUAUAUUAAGUGUAUGAUUAAUAUGAAAAUUCUAAUAUUUUGUGUACUUAAUUAUGUUGAUUUACAGUUGGAGGGAUUAUUUUACAACAACAUAAUUAACAAUAAUAUUGGCAAAAUAAGAAGUGCUUCUUUUUCAUCACUUCAAUUUUUAAGUUGUAAUAUUGGUGUCUUUGCACCUAAAAUUGUGAUAAAGAUAUUAACCAUAUUUUUUGUGUUGGUAAAGAAUUCUCUUAAUUUGAGAUGUUUUCUACUUAACAUACCAUUGGAAUAUAAAUUUAAAAAAGAAGAAGCACAUAAAGCAUUGCAAAUGCUACAUGACAAAGAUGUUUGGAAAAAAUUUGGGAGUUUAAAUGUGUUGCAAUUGAGAAAUUGUUCUUUUAUAGAAACACUUCCAAAUUUAUUUUAUAAAAUUACCACAUUAUUAGAACUUGACUUAGGAGAAUGCUCAAACUUAACUAUGCUACCAAAUGAAUUGGAGUAUAUGACUUCUUUAAAGAUACUUAACUUACAAUAUUGUGAAAGGUUAAAAUUAUUACCAACAUCAAUAGGAAGUCUUAUUUCUUUAAAAGAUCUUAAUAUUGAAAAUUGCCAAAGCUUGACAUCAUUGCCAAAUGAAUUGGGCAACCUCACAUCUUUGACUUCCUUAAAUAUGAAGGGGUGCUCAAGCCUGACAUCAUUGCCAAAUGAAUUGGGCAACCUCACAUCUUUGACUACCUUAAAUAUUAGUUGGUGCUUAAGCUUGACAUCAUUACCAAAUGAAUUGGGGAACCACUCAUCUUUGACUACCUUAAAUUUGGAGAGGUGCUCAAGGUUGACAUCAUUGCCAAAUGAAUUGGGCAACCUCACAUCUUUGACUACCUUAAAUAUGAGGAGGUGCUCAAGCUUGACAUCAUUGCCAAAUGAAUUGGGCAACCUCUCAUCUUUGACUACCUUAGAUAUUAGUUGGUGCUCAAGCUUGACAUCAUUGCCAAAUAAAUUGGGGAACCACUCAUCUUUGACUACCUUGAAUAUGGAGGUUUAUAUCUCCAAUCAUUUUUAAUCAUAAAAUUAAUAAUAAUUAAUAAUAAUUUUUAAUAAAUAAAAUUAAACAUAGAAAAUGAUAAAUUAUUUUGUUAGAAGCUAUUAUGAAAUUGUUUGAAAUUAGAAAUUCAUUUCUAAGUAAUAAUCUAAUUAUCUAUCUAUCUAUCUAUCUAUAUAUAUAUAUAUAUAUAUAUUUAUAUUUAUUUGUAUGUUAUAAAUUUUAUUUCAUUUAAAAUUUUAAUAUAUAUUUUUUUAAUGUUAUAUAUAUAAGGAGUAGAAAAAUAAAUAGUUUGUAGAAAAUGAUAAUUUUAAAAAGAAUAAGAAGAAAUCUAUUUGAUAAAAUGAUAAUCCAAUUUCCAUAUUGUAUUUUAGAUUUAGAAAAUAAAAUUAAAACUAUAAUAAAUAAAUAAAUAAAUAAAAACACGAUCUUCAUGAAAAAUGAAUUAAAUAAAUAUUAAUAAAAAAAGAAAAUAAACAAGAAAACAAGACCUUAUUGCAUAAGAAAUAUUCAAAAAUAAUAGUAUUUUUUAAUAACUAAAGUAUUGAAAACUUUCUACAUUGUAUAAUUUGACUCCAAUAAAAUAUAGCUAAAUUCUCUCAUCUUCAUAAAGACAUAUAUAUAUAUAUAUAUAUAUAUAUUUGUUACUUUAUAAGUUGAUUAUAAUUUUUAAUUGUUUUAAUUUUUUAAUUUUUUUGCUGCCAAGAUAAACCUUGUGGUGCACUUGAAAUGUAGAUUACCAACUUCUUUGGUGCUAUUUUACAAUCUUGGAUACAACAUGCAAUCUUUUUGUAGUUUAAAAUCCUUAUAAACUAGUCAAAUUAAAUUUAGUGGAGAUUUUUCCAACUACAAUUCUUUGCUCCCUGUUAUUCACUGCAAACUGAAAGAACUACUGAAUAUUCACCAAUACGUUGAGGUCAUCAACAGCUCGGACAACUUCAAGAAUUGUGAAAUCACCGAUAGGCUCAAAGAGGUCGUUAUUGACUAAUAUUAAUUGAGCUUCAGCACCUUGAUGGCAACUAAGGAAUCAUGAACUUGAAGAGUUUUGGAAGCAACAUGAAUUAGGGAGACAUUAACAGUGGAAUUUAAGACCAAAAUCAAUUGAUGAUGAGCUCAUUAUCAAGCUCGAUUGUCAGCCUUGAAUCUGAUCUCCGUUGUAAUGAUUUUUGCUUUGCUAACGCUUGCUUUUGUUAAUGUGAUUAGAAUCUACAAAACUUAGUGGUGGAUUUAAGUUCAUGGCAAUAACGAUUACCUCAACCUUUAGAAUACACCAAGGCAUUUCUUUAGCACAUUCAGAUCACUUGUAUAGUAAAAAAUUCUUCACUCAUUGUUACUAUUGUCUGAUCUACUUUUUCUGUGCUUGCCAAAGAGUUGUUUUUUUUCUCUUGCAUGAUUAAAUUGCUUUCCAUCAAGUGUCAAGAUUGUAGGAUGCAAUACUACCAAAAAUACUUACACUUUCUAAGACCUAAAUGGUACACAGUGAUGUCUUUAAUUAUAUAACGUUUUUGUGCCUAGUCCAGACAAUAUGAUAUCUAGAUACCGAGUUGUGGUAGUUUUAUUGUCGAUGGAUUGCCAAUGCUAGUAACAAAGAAGACGAUUGUCACUGCAUAGAUUACAAUCCUACCUAUUAGUCAACCUUCAAGGAAUAGAAAGCUUUUAAUCAAGUUGUUGGUUGCCGCUUUAUUGCCCCGUAACAAACAUGGAGCUUGUCAAGUAGCCCUUUCAUCAAGAAAUCUUAGUUGUUCUAGGAAUUUUGAUGCGGCACAAUUAGAACUUGAUGGAUUCCUUCCAUGUAUGCUUGAUAUGUCAUACAACAGAUUGUUCUAGGUUGGACCAAUUCCCAUGUUUUGCAAGUUGAUUGCUAGUUGUAUCAAAUCAUGACAAAUUUAAUUUCUUGAAAUUGAUGAUUUCAACAGUCAGGUACUUAGUGAGUAAUUGUCAUGGAUGCUAUCUUAAAGAAAAAUCUGAAAAAGAGAGAAAAUGUUGUUAGUAUCAAUUGUCGACAGAAAUUUAACAAUCUACGACAUAAUUGAGCAUACUUAGAAGAUUGCUUUUGUGACUUAUACUUUCUAUUUGAGUUGCCCUUGCCAUUGUUAAUACAAUAUCUUAUAUUAUGUGUUGCAGUGAGUGCAAAAAAUAAAAAGAUUGAAUCGGAUAUGUGUAGAAUUAAGUCAAGAGUUCUAUUUUUUGGUGUUGUCAUUGCUGGCUCAGCCUUCUUGCUCUCAUGUCCCUUCUGCUCAUCACCGUCAUUGGAACUCCUGACGGUAGCUUAGGUCACCAGCAUCAGCACCACUUCCACAACUAGAAAGAGCAUUACGGAUCUCUUGAUUCUUGCAAUGUUGAUCGGCAACUCCAACUAUGAUGAAUAAUUGUAAUUCCACAAACUAUUUAAAACUUGGUCAGGCCUCUAGUUGUGAUCACUUCAGCAGUUCUAUACAUAUGAUCCUACAAAGGUGUUGUGCAAUAUUUGAAGACUCUUGACAAAAUCAAACUUCUUAUUCUGUGUCUUCUCGAUUGAAUGCAUAUUUGUAAUUAGUUUCAUCAAGUAGUAUCAAAUCUUUGUGACAUGUGAAGGUGAAAUAAUUGAUUCUGCAACAAGGAUUAUGAAAGGUGAUAGAAUUGCAUGUGCAACAAAGAUUGUAUAUGAUAUUACAGAAGAAAACUUUAGAAAAGAUUAAUAAAGAACGGGAGGAGAUGAAUUUGGGAGUUGUGAGCACAAUUUGCAUAGGUUUUGUAGAUAAGGCAUUGUACAAUGAUAUGAACUAGAGCUCAGGACCUAAGUUAUAGACAAAAUUAGAAUUUUUUUCCAUAAUCAAGUUCUUCACAAAAAUAAUUGUACCUAAAGAAGCAAUUGUGUAUUUUGCAAAUAAAAAAAAAUACCAAUAUAUUAAAUCUACUAAAUAAAAGAAAAGAUAGAACUUUAUUGCUAAUUACUUUAUUGCUUCUUUUGUUUGAACAUCUAAUCACUAUUCUUAUCUAUGGAAGAGAUACUAUUGAAUUAGAAGAAGUUAUAACAACUUUCUUAUUUAACAAGAUGAAAACAAGAUACCUAGUUGUAAAGCAUCACAAUCACAUGUCUUUUAUUUAAAGAAAUAGGACCAUGCACAAAGAAUAGAGUAGAGGUAAAUUUACAUCAAAAUCUAAAUCUAAGUUUAAUAAAUUCAAGAUUAUUUGUUUUAAAUGGAAAAAGUUGGCACAUCAUGAAAGGAUGUAUAAGAAGAAAAAAAUAAAAAUAAAAUAAAAUAUAAAAUAUAAACAAAGGUUAGUCUUUUGAAUAAGUAAGAGUUUUUGAUUUUGAUAAAAAAAUUGAAAAUUUCUUUAUUAUAACUACUAAAAAUGAUGGAUUUUAAGAUGGAUGGAUUCUUGACUUUGGUUGCUUAUACCAUAUGGAUUGCCAAAAAACUCGCCCUUAUUUAUGCUUCAUACAAUAGUGGGAUUGUGCUUAUGAGAAAUAACUAGUCAUUUAAAAUUGUAGAAAUCUUUACUGUGUGCAUUAAAAUGUUUCAUAGAACUAUAAAGGCAUUGGAUGAUGUUAGGCAUGUUUCCAAAUUAAAGAAGGACCUAAAUCUUCUAUAAUCACUGGAUUUUAUUGGCUAUAACUAUGAUUAACAAGUCGAAGAAUCUCAAAGAUUAUCAAAGAAGUUCUAGUAGUAAUGUAAAAUUUAUACAUAAAUUUUUUUAUUAUAAUUUAUUUGAAUUAAAGAUUUAGAGUUUAAAAUAUACUAAUUCCUUAAAUCAAUUUGGCAUAUUUAUUUUAAAGUCUUAAAUUGACUUAUCUUUUAUAUUUAAUAUUUUUAUUUCUAAUAGUUUACUUAUAAAUUUGAAUAUGUUUUUAUUUUAGUAAUUAUUAGAUAUUUAAAAUAACAUAUUAAUAUUUUUAAGAUUAUUAUUUUUAUAAAGCUAUUUUUUAUUAUUUUUGACUUAUUUAUAUUUUGAACACAAAAUAAUUAAUUUGAAAUGGCUUCUUUUGCAUUAUACAUAGAAUAUCUAGUUUGGAAUAGUAUGUGUUUAUAUUACAAAAAAAUCAAGUUAUUCAAAGGUCUAUUUUUUAUAUGAGAUUUAGUUUUUAUGAUUUAAUAUUAUAAAAAUAUGUUAAAAUAUUUUAACAAAUUUUUCUUUUAGUGUUGAGUUAUCUUACUUUAUUAUUUUAAUAUUUGAUAUUCCAAUGGUGUAGUAAAAAACUUAGAUUAUAUAGAUGUUUCCAUAUUUUUUAAUUUUUAAUUUCAAAUUAGAUCUAUAUUUUUAUUUUUGUAAUUUAGGAUUUUUGUAGCCCAGGUAGGUAAGUAAUAUAGUCUAAGACAUGACAUGAUCUAAUAAUUGAAAAGAUUGGUAAAAAAAAAGGACAAUAAAAGCUUUAAUAAGCUAAAAUUUAAGAUGGUGUAAAUAUAAAAAUAGAAUAUUAAUAUAAAAAUUCUAUUAUUUUUAAUAUUUUUAGACUAUCAAAAAAGUAGAAUUUAAAUUUAAAAAUUCUAAAUUUAAUAUUUAAAUACACAAAUAUAUAUAUAUAUAUCAACCAAAUUUACAUGAUAAUUAUUACCUUUACAUAAAAAAGAAAUUAUAAAAAGAGCAUAAAAAUUAAUUUAAUAAAAAAAUAAAAAAAUAAAAAAUAAAAAAGACCUAAAUAUAUUCAUCUAUCAAAGAAUUUUUUACAAAGAUUAUAUAUAUAUAUAUAUAUAUAUAUAUAUAAAAAUUAUAAAUCAUAGAAAAUUGGGAUCCAAAAAUUUAAAGACAAAUUACUAAACACCUAAAUUCUUAUACCUCAAGAAUCUCAAGUAUUCCUUCUAUGUUUCCACAUAGGAAUUAUCUCUGUACUUAUCUAAAAUCUCCACAGUUCUUGGUUUUGUUAUGGUUAAACAAUUCAACCUUAAAACUAUCUUCAAUUUAUCUAUCAAUUUUAUCUAUUAAUAUUAUCUUGUUUUCUUCAAUCUAUUUUUUACACAUCUAUAUCUUCAUUAUCUUCAUCUUUGUCUUUGUCUACUUUAAUACAGUCUUUGUACAUCUAUAUCUUCAUCAAUUUCAUUUUGUCUGUCUUUUUUAACCUAAUCUUCAAUUCUUCAUUACAUCUUACAACUCUUAAAUACAAUAUUAGACCAAAAGUGUAUAAAAUGAUAUGCAAGCAUGUCAAUUUUAUCUCUUUAUUAUGUUCUUUUUGAUAAUAAUAACAUAGCUAUGAAGCUAUUUAUAGCUUCUUUAUAGUGAGUUUUUUCUAAUAUUAAUUAAACAUAGUAAAUCACAUUUUAAUUUAUUUCUAACUAUCUAUAACUAUCAAAGGUGGUUUUAACCACUUUGUCUUUUAAACACAUGGGCGGCUAAUUCCUUUGCCUUUUCACACUUUUCUAUCUUUUCUAACCUUAUUUAUACUUGUUUCUAUAAAUUGAUUUUUUACACUAAAUUUUAUUCUUCCUUUUCUUCUUUUAUAUUAGUCUAUUACAUUCUCAUUUCUUUGUAAUAUAUCUUCUUAAUAAUAUCUUUAUUAAUUAUUAACACUAAGGAUAACAUUACUUCUUUUCCUCAAAAGUAAUCGAUUCUAUCCAAUUAAGCAUUAAGUUAAGUUAUCCCCUACCUCAUAUUUGCAUUCUUAAUCUUGCUUUUAUUAAACUACUGUGCUGGUAAUUCAUGAGAGUCUCUUCCGUUGGAACUCUCAAGCUCUUAAAUUCCUUCAUGUUCCCUAUCGGUAGAACUUCUUUGAUAAAGCUGUCAACGUUGUCACUAUACAGUUGGAGUCAACUGAAGCACAGGCUCUUCUUCUACUGUGGGGGGGUGGCGACGAUGCGGGGAACGGCCAUGAGGGUGUGUGAUUGCGGGUUUCAUACCGUCAGGAAAUAGCAAUUCUAGACGCGGAAUUUGGCGGUGGAGUCAUUGAAGACGAUCUUCCGUCACCCGGCAGCAGCUCCAAUGCUCCACAGUCGACAUUCUCACUGGUGUCUCCACGCUCUGGAGGAAUCCAUCGCAGCUGAUGCGUGUCGGAGUAUCUACAUCUAUCUCUCACUCGCUAUUCCUAUAUAUAUAUAUAUAUAUAAACAUAAAUAUAUAGAGAUAUAGCAUACAGGAUGUCCGUACAGUGAGGCGUCGUGAGGCUUAACUGCCGUCACCGGAGAGCUUCUCAUGAGUCUGCGCUGUUUUAGUUAUCACACGGUGUAUUUUUCGGAGGAGAAUGCGGCCUUAGAAGUGCAGGAGAUCGCCACGACUUGGGGAGGCAAGUUGACAGCGGGCGGAUCUUCUCUUGCCCCCCGUCCCCCCCCCUGCGAAACGAAGCCCUGCAUGGUUGAGCGGAGCUCGUUUUCGGUCGGCAAGUGAGGUCUGUUGCAUGUUGGAAGAUAGCUGCCAAGGCUACAUAGCCAAAAGCCUUUGAGAACUUGUGUGGGACCGUGUAGAGUGUGAUGGAAGAUGAUGGCUAUGGUUGUGGUUUCAGUUUUGUUGCUUCUUCUUCACAAGAGUGGCGCGCCUGUCCACCUUUUGCAGUUUCUUCAAAUGAUUUCCGGCUGCGCGCUGCACGUUACAUACACCUUGUUCGCAACCCACCUUCUCGCAACCCUGUUCGCAACCCACCUUCUCCGCCCCUGAAUCAGCAACCGCAACCCUGUCAACAUACCAAAAAGUGCAGACCUGGCAGAGAACCGAAUCCUCGAAGCAGAAAGAACGAGCGCAAUGGCCAGCGUGUGAAAUUCCGGAGGGAAAUUAGUGAGGAGGACAGACCUUUGACAUCGUCGAGAGCCUUUCUCACGUUCUGCACACAGUUGCCGCAGCACAAUUUUAUGUUCAGCUCAAUGGUUUGUGUCUUCGAUUUAACUUCCAUAGGCUUCUCCGGUUACUUCGUCGUAGCUGAGCCGGAUGGCUUGGCUUUCAUUUCAUUCUCGAUGAACUUGGGUUCCCUCUUGACUCCCGGGAUAAAUAACUGCAACUUAUGUGCACACCAACACCAUCAGCACCGAGAAUCAUCCGCUUGGAAACAAUAUCUCCUGACUAGUUGAAAAACCUAAAUCGCAAGUAUUCUAAACCCGUUUUCAUCAUCGAGCUCACCUCAUCAAGGAAGCCGAGAUAAUAAUACGGUCAGGGGUCACGGAAGUUCUCCAUGGCGCUGGAAGGCGUGAAUAAUGAAAUUAAUCUGUUUAACAAACGAUGCACCAAUUCAUCUUGGCGGAGCUGACAAUGCGAAUCUCUCAAUGAAACUAGACAGCGAUGGAGGCGGGAGGGCAACUUUGGUGAAAAGCGCUGCGUACUCGCCGCGUAACGCAUACAUCACGAACUCCUCUUGGAGGUACGCGAUGACUCCAAUGCACCUCGUUUCGGGACGCGUUUGCUGCCCUUUCUUCUGCCAUCGCAGGUUCCGAUGCGCCCACUGCAGAUUUGCCGCACACGCGCGUCGACUUACGGACUCUGACAUUAUAGUAAUCGUCCUAUAGAUACUGUACAAAACACAGUUGACAUUGACCGGCUCGGAGAGAUUGAGCACACAAGAUGUUCCGCUUGGAGGAACAAUCUCUUGGAGGAACGCUCCGAACGACUUUGAGAUUAGAAACGAACUGACUCCCACCAACUUCAGGAUGCUUUGCAGGCUCAUGGGUUGUUUUUUAGGGGAGAUAGGAGGUGCCUUAGAAGUUCUAUUCUGAUGAGAAACACAGCUGCAAGGUUUCAAAACAUGGGGACCGAAAAUAGGAGCUUAUGGCGUUGUGGGUGUUCUGCACUACUUGCAAACAGUGGCAAAGCAAGCUCCCCAUUCUGCAACUUGCUCCAAAUCAAACAAUAUAACUAAAGAAUGUUUUACUUAUCAAAGCAUUACUGGCAGUGGUGCAGACUAAAUUUCUGUUUGUUUGUUUUUUGAUUUGUUUUGUUUUGUUUUGUUUUUUUUUCCUUCUUUAUUUUCUUUCCUCUCGCUUUUGCUUCCUACUUGCAUGUGCACUUUGAUGCUUUAAUGGUAUUGUUGGUGAUGGUGUUAUUAAACGUUUAGUUUAUAGUUAUCAAUGCUCUUUGCUUUUAGUUUUGUAUUAUUAUUAUUAUUAUUAUUAUUAUUUAUUUACGUUAAUCAUGUGAUUUAAAUAAUUUCAAAGUUAAGAUUACUAUUAUAAUCAAGAAUUUUAGAUUUUGAUUAAUAAUGUGUUCUACUCAAUUUUGUAAGUUCCUUUUCUUCACAUCAUUCUUCCAAUUAGGUGACUUAGCUUUUAAUUUUCCGCUGUAUCCACAACCACUUUAGACAAUUCCAAAGAUCAUCACAUUUUGAUGACUCUCAGGCUAUUUAUUUUCUUUUGUGGUUUUUGUUUAUUCCAAAACCUACCUACAUCUAAGGUACUACAACCCAUAUGGUGUUGAGAAUUGAAACAAUACAAUAUCAAACAUUUAGAGAAAUUGCACCAACUAUGUCUACUAUCAAACAUUUAGACCAUUGUUUUACUAAAAAAUUGUGUUAGAAUUACAAUGUACUGCUCAUUGCCAGUCCUUAAAAACAACCUCCAAAAUUGACUAUCAAGCUUGACCAAAAUUCUAUUGUAUAGACACAAAAAAUACCUUAGAGUGUCCAAAAAUAAAUAAAAAAUAAUAUAAAAUUUAUAUUGCAAGGAAUUACCUUGCACCCAUUCAAGGGAGGCUUAUAUAAUGCUUUGCCAUUGUGAGUCACUGAAUUGUCUCCCUUAGGUAUUUAGUAUAUAAAAAAAAAAUUCAUUGUGCUUUAAAUCACAAAUUUUGUGAGUUAGAAAAAGAAUUCUUAGGUAAAUAGAAAAAAGAUUGCAAGUAGCAGAUAUGCAACCUAAGGUAGAAAUUAUUGAGACAAAAUUCAAAGAUGAAUAGUUUUCUUUGAGUUAGUUAAUAUUAGAUGAUGGUCCAAUGGAAGUAGCUCUUAUUAUUGUGGAUUCUUAAUUAAGAUAGGAAGCUAAGAAAGAAUGAUUGAUUCAAAUCAAUUCAAAAGAAAAAUAUAUAUAUAUAUAUAUAUAUAUAUUAUAAGUUAGAAGGAACAAAUCAAAAGAGUAGGGGAAAAAAAAUGGAAGAGAAGGAGAGAGAAAGAAAAAAAAGAAGAAGAGAAGAAAAAAGAAAAGAUAAAAAUAUAAAAAAUAAAUAAACAAAAGGAAAAGAAGAAGAGAAAAAGAUAAAGAACAAACAGAAGGAGAGGAGAAGAUGAUGAUAAGCGGAAGAGGCUGUCCCUGAAUGGCGGCAAUCUCCUUGUUGAUAGGAAUCCGGGCCACCCUGGACUUCGUCUCUCUCUGAGUUCUGAUUUUUUUGUGUAAAGCGUUCGAUUAUGGCGGUGCUGUGGUGAGAGAUCAAGGUGUGGUUUGUUGUUGUUGUUGUUGUUGUUGUUUUUUUUUUUGUUUUGUUUUGUUUUGUUUUUUUUUUCCCUUUUUCUUCUGACAAAGAAGAAUAUGUGUGGUGGAAGGGUGGAAGCUGAAGUUGGCGGUGCGGCGAAGCUACAAUGUUGUUCGAGGUGGUGUUGAUUGUUGAGUUUCAAUUAGUCACAAUGCAGUGGCGGACGCGGUCGGCAGUUGUCUUUUCCGUGUACGAGCUGUGCGGUGUGGUGGUGGAUUGCAUUGCGAUGCUGAAAUCGACGGUGCUCUAGAGUGGCAAAGAAGCUGUUGUGGUUGGAGCGAGGAUUCUCUUGUACGGUGUGUGGAGAAGUACCCAACGCCGUUCUUUGCUUUUUUUUUUUUUUUUUUGUGUGUAUCUUCUUGAUCUUACUCAAGUCGUCGUCAACGAAGCUGCAGCCAAUGACUGAGACUACUAGAGCAUUCGGUAGCAGCAAACAAGUACUACUAUGCUUUAUCGGUGGUGCCAACGACUGUUCAAAUUGGUGGUGUUGUGCUGCUCGACGUUGGCGAGGUUGUUGACAGUCCGUGCUCCGUUCCUUCGCGCUUUGGUUCCUGUCGCAAACAACGGUGUUAUUGUGUUUUUCCUAGCUUCUCUUCAAUUGGCAAACUCUAGUUGCGUGCAACAAUUUUCUUCCCUCUAAUCUCUAGUUGUGGACUUGGUUCUGUGAUCUAGUUUCGUCGUUUUCCUGUUGGUUCCCUUCUUGACAUUCGGCGUUCUUCUUGUGAAGACUUGUAGGAGUCAGUUAGCAUUGUAAUAAUAAGUUUCUGGUUUUGGUUGGACUUUGAGUUUAGCCUCUUGCAUUCGCGAGGGAAUUGUAAUCCACAGGUAGGAGUGAAAAUUUCAAGGACAAAUAGAAGACUAUCACUCUGGCUAAAAGUAGCCAUUGGGCUUGAUGAAAUAUCUUUAAUUAUGAAUAGCGCGGAUGCAAGCAAGGCAUUAUGUUUUGUGAGCAGUAAGGGUGUUGUUACGACUGCUGGAGAUAAAGUGUGGUUUCUUCCAUCAGUGGAUAAUCAGAAGCGUUGACAAUCCAUGAUUGCGACUUAUUUCCAUCGAUAGUGGAAUUUGACGAGAAGAUCCUGUUACUGUUUAUCAACAUUCACAACCUUCUUCUUGCAGCCUAGUGGAAGCGCAGAGGAGCCUUCAGUAUCGGCGCUGCCGAGCAAAUUGAAGUUUUAGUACAAGUGUUGUGCUUGCGAUGUAGACAAGAAAUCCUUGGCAUUAGGUGAAGUAUGAAGGAUUCUGGACAUAGUGGUGGCCUCGUCAUUGAGAUCUAGAGGUUGCAUUUGGCUGCUUGUGCAGUUGAGACUUGUCUUCUUCAACUCGAUAUUAUUGGGCAGCUGAUUAUCCAAGAUUCGGUGAGCUCCCAGCGGAGCCACAAUAAGGCUCAAUUCCAAGGGAAUUAGAGCUGUCAAACGCUUCCUCGCACGCACGUUGUUGCGAUAUUGGGAUGUGUCACCUUUGCAUGAAGGGAGGAUCAAAGCUACGAAGUAGUGGUCCUGAUACUAUACUGGCAAGGCGUUUAGUUGGAUCCUUGGAGGUUUAUAGGCUCAAGGGGAUUGCGUUAUUGCAGAGCCGGACUACUACGAGAGGAAAGCAUCGAAAGUAACAAAGAUUUCAAGCUAGGAGCAACCACAAGAGGCAUGCUUACAUAAAAGUAAGACUGGAUAAUUCUAACUGUGGACGAGGUUAGAAGCUAGAUGAGCGCAGGAUAGGUUUGAAUUAGGUUAAAUCGGAUGAAAUGUGUAUGGAUGAAAAAAUUAAUGAAUUAGAUGAAUGUUAAAACCGAAGAUGAAGUAUUUGGCAUGGAUGAACUCUAAUCAUGGAUGAUAAGUUAUUUAUGGAUGAUAGCUUAUUCUUGGAUGAUUUUCGUCAACGGAUGAAUUUUAAUUGAAUAAAAUAAAAGAAAAUAAAAUAAACAAACAAAAAAUUAAAGUAAGUGUUAAGAGAAGGAAUUUCUUUGGCAUUCACUUGUGAGUAAUUUGCUAUUGUAGGUGAAUUAAUAAUAGAAGUGUUGCUUAAGGACUUAGGUGUUUUAAUAAGAUUGAAGAGUGAUUUAAUUAGAAUUUAAAUAAGAACUAUAACUUAUUAAACUUAUUUAAUUAAUUCACUUGUGAACUAGAAUAACUUUCCAAAUAAUAGAAGGUUGUUUAAGUCUAAGAAUUUUGUAUGGCUUUUAAAGCUUAUUCCAUUUCUUCAUAACAGCUUCUUGAAUUAAUAAGACUCAUUUUUAUCAAAGUCUUGAAAAUUGCUCUAAAAAUUCCUAAACAAUUUUGAAUAAAAUUUUUAAAAAAUAUAUAUAUAUAAUUUUGAUAUCAAAUUAAAGAUAUUUUAUCCUACCUUUGUGAUUUUACAUGAUGAUAAAAUUAAUUUAAAUCAAUAAUAGAUUUUAAUUUUUAUAUAAAUAACUAAAAAGAUAUGAUGUUCUUUUUCAUGUCUUUUUAAACUACUAAUUAAAAUUUACAGGUUAUUUAUAAAUAAUCAAUGUAGACAUUAAUCUAAAUAAUUAAACAUUGGUAUAUAGAAAUAAGAAAAAAAUAUUAUUCCAAUUAAGAUAAUUACUUCCAAAACUUAUUAAGAUUCUAUUUUUAUAAUUUUUUUGUUUAAUAAGAUUCUUGUAACUUAUAAAUCUAUCUAAAUUUUAAUAAAUACUUAAAUAUUCAAAAGACUCUCUAAUCCUAAUAGUUUUGUAUUUAAAUAAUUUAAAACUAUAUUUUUAAUAGUCCUACCAAUUAAAAUCUAUUGAUAGAACUUACAUAUGGCAACUAUUUAGAAUUAUUUGUAGUAAUAAAAAAAAUUAUAUUUUUGCCUUUAAUAGAGUCUAUAAAGAAAAUAAUAGAAGAAGUUACAAAAGUUGACAUUACAAUCUAUUCAAAGAAACAAAAUAUAAGAAAAAAUAAAAAUAAAAAGUCUUUGGCCUAAAAAACAAAAAUAAACAAUUGUUUGUAUUUGAUUUAAUAUGGCUCUACAAGAAGCAAUUUCUUGCUUAGUUACUAGCUUAAUAUUGGAUAGCAUCUAUAAUUCUAUGGAAAUUCAAACCAAAAAUUAUAAGAUUGUAAAUCUAUAAAAACUUCAUUUAAUUUAUUAAGCCACAUUAAAGACGACCAUGACUUUAAGAAAAGACUACUUAAUAAUGUUUAUUACUUUUGUCUUGAGUCUAAAAAUUUAUUUAAAAUAAAAGUAAUCUAUAAUUUUGAUUUAGAACUACUAUAAAAUGACUCAAUAUAUUAGUAUUAUAAUCAAUAUUUACAUCAUAUAUUCCUUACAAAAAUAUCUAUUGGUUUGUAUAGAAAAGUCUUCUUCAUCCAAUGUUUUAAAUCGGACUAAAUUAUUAUCAAAGAUUUUUUUAAUAAUAUAAGGUUUUAUCAAAAGUGCAUCAAACUUGGCUAGAAAUUCUACUUUUCUAGCAUUAGCAUCUUGGACCAUCACCGACAUCCAUAGAGUAAGAAGAUAUUUAUUUACUUACUUUAUCAAUUUAUUUAUUUAUUCAUUUAUUUAUUUUUCUCUUUAAGUGGUUUUUAUAUAUUGAGCUGCAAAACUUUGAGUUUUACUUAGUCCUUCUAAAUGCUUUAAUUUUUCUUUUAAAGAUUAAGAAGUAUUAAAUCUUUUGUCAAUGAUAAUGUAUUAAGAUGAAAUUUCAAAUUCUAUAGAUAGAAUGGCUUUAUUCCAUAUACCAAGGAAAAAAAUGUAGCCUUUGUAAAACAUUUGUAAGUAGUUUAAUAACUCCAAAGAAAAAAAGUGAGCUUGAGAUUCCAAUCACAAUAUUUUAUUAAAAUUUCUUAUAAUAUAUAAAAAUUGAUUUAGAACUAUGAAAUAUAUUAAUAGUUUUAUUUAGUAGAUUUAUAAAUAAGUUUAUAAAAAUUUUUAGAAUUUAUUUUUAUAGUUUGUGAAAAAUAGAGAUAUAUAUAUAUAUAUAUAUAUAUAUAAAGAUUAGGUAGCAAGCUCGUAGGGAGAAGAUUUGACGCAUUGGACAUUAAGUGGCAACUUAAGGUUUGUGAUAAUGGAUGGAUGAUAAGGUGCUUAGGUGGCACUUAAGAGGUCCUAGAUUUGAAUCUCCAUAGUAGCACAUAGAGAAGGAAAAAAAUGAAUAUUUUCUAAAAAUAUCCAAUUAAUUUAUUAAAAAUAUUCAAAAGAUUGGCCCCACAAUGCUUGUAUUAGAUGUUUAUAUUAGAUGAUAAGGUCACUUGUUGCCUAUGAGAAGGAAUAAAGAAUCUCUCUUAAUAUUAACAUGAGAUGUGACACUCAUGUCUUGUAUAUACUCUUUUUAAGUGAAAAGAUUGGUAUAUAGCUUUCUUGAAAGAGAAGGAGCUAUAAAUUGAUAGUGAUUGAAGUUUGAUGGUAUCAAUUCUUUGGAAUCCUCAAAUCUAUAUUUUUUAAAAAAAUAAAUAAAAAUUUGAAUAAACUAAAGUUUUGGAUUUAAGGUUUAGAAAUAGAAUUUAAGAUUUAAAGUUUAGAACUAGGAUAGAGUUUAGGAUUUUAAAAAGGUAGCAACUUUCUUUGUAAGGGAAUAUAAGGGCUUCCAAAGAAGGUUUUGUUCUCUUAUAUUGUUUGUAUGAAUUGAUAAUAUAUGAUAUGUUAAUUAAUUGAAGAAUAAAGAAAUUUAGAUAAGAUUUGGAUUUUAUUGCAUGUUAUUUGUUUUGAAAGUAUUUUAGAGAAGGUAGGGCAAUUAGUUGUUGCCAAAGGCCAUGUGCUAUUGUAAAGCAAUAUUCUCUCUCUACAAUAAUAUUUUUAAACCUUCACAGAUUUUUUCAAUAUCUAAAUUAAAAUUUGAUUGAUAUUUUUUGAAAGAAUAUAUGUUUGUAGAUGAUAGGAAGUAGUCUUUUAAUGGUUGAUGGUUGAUAAUGUGGUUAAUUUUUUAAUAGUCUCAUUUAAAAAAUAAGUAUUAUUAUGAAGUACAAAGAUUUUUAGACAAUGAAAAUAAGCUAUGAUAUUUCAUACAAAAAUAUGGCAGUUUGUUUAGCAUCUACCAUCUUAAAACUCAACAUAUCAUAUGAUUCUAAAAUUCAAGCUAAAGUACAAUUUAUCAUUGACAAAUACGUGCAAGUAAAGUUAUUAUUGAAGAAUGCAAGAAAAAGUAAUAUUUAUUGAUUACUUUGGUAAUGCUAUUAAUUGCAUCAAUAUGAAUAACAUAUAGAACUCAAUUCAAUAAGUGCCCAAUAACUCAAACAAUCAUGUAACUUGCAACUUUAGCUAAGGUGCAAAUUCUUUGUUUAAGCAGAUUUACACAAUUGCAUUUUAUUUGGAAGAAGUAGGUAAGGCAAAGCAAACUUUGAAGACUAGUUCAAUAACAUUGCUACUUGCACCAAUAAGAGCAAUGUAGAAAAUUCAAUUUAGCAGCUGCCCAAUUACUCAAUAAGGUAUGUGGUUUUGCAACUCAAGCAAAGGUAGAAAUCUUUAUCAAUAAAUGCAAGCAAAAUAAGUUAUUAUUAAUAUAAAUUGUCUACAAAAUCUCAUUGUAAUCUCAACCAUUAAGUCAACUUAGCCUUAAAGAGGUUGUUAUAAAAAUACUUAUCCUUACAUUGCGAUCUAUCCAUUCUAGAUCCUUACAUUGCGAUCUAUCCAACAAGAAAAAAGUAUAGAAUCCAAUUCAAUUGCUGCCCAACAAUUCAAAAAACUAUAUCAUUCUACAAUACAAGCCAAGGUGCAAACUUCUAAUCUAAACAAAUUCAUACAAUUGCCAAUUUCUUGGUACAAGUAUGCGAUACAAAGCAAUCUUUGUCAACUACUUUGGCAAUGCUAAUAAUGUAUUAUAUAUAGUCUUGUUUGAAAAUGCAUCAAACACAUUAUUGUGGGAGGUAAAUAAAAAAUUAUAAUAACAAGAUUCUAAUAAUUCUAAUAGAAUCUUAAAUAAAUCUCAAUUAAAUCUUAAUAAUUUUAAUUAAAUUUUAAUUAAUUCUUAAGAAAUAUUAAAAAUAUAUUUUUAAAAAUCAUAAAAAAAUCAUAAAUAAUUAUUAAAUAAAUUACAAAGAAAUCAUAAAUAAACCUCAAAAAAAAUUUACGAUUAAAAAUUCUAAGUAAAUCCUAAAUAAAUCUAAAUUAAAUCCUAUAUAAAUUCUAAAAAAAUCUUAAAUAAAUUCUAACAAAAUUCUAAGUAAUCUUAAUCAAACUUUCAUUAAAUUCUAUUAUAUAUAAAAAUAUUAAUAAAAAAUAAUUUAAUUAUUUACUUUAAUUCAAAAUUUGUGCACUUCUUGAUUAUUUAGUUAAAAAUAAGAAAAAUUAACUUAAAGAAGAUUGAACUUAUCAAAUAGAAGAAAACCUCAUAAUUUUCUUCGAUAUUCAAUAGCCUUUUUUUUUAAUCUUCAUGCCAAUUUCCUAAUACUAAUAUCAUUUGAUUCUACCAUCCAAUUUCUUUUAAAUUUUGCAAAAUUAUUAGAAUUUAAGUUUGAUACUAUUAUUCAAAACCAAAUCUCAAUCCAACUAAUAGAUUGCUAUAAAUCUUAGAAAUCUUUACUAAUUCUUCAAAUUCUAAUUUUUAAGAUUUCAAUCUAUUUGAAUUUCAAUAACUUUUAAAUGAAUUGUUUUAUCAAUGUCUAACUUAUGACACACAUUCAAUUCAACUAUAAACCUAGAACCACAAAAUUUUACUAAUAGAUCUAUUAUAUAUAUCUCACAAGUAUAAAUCUUUUUUUAUUUCUCAAAAAUCAAAGUUUCUUCAAAAUAAUCCUAACAUUGCAUAGCUUUUAUAAAGUCAUUACAAAAUCAAAUCCCUCAAAAUCAAUGUUCAAAGAGCCUCUCUUAAAUUUUCUCUCAAAAUCUGCUCUUUGAUCAACCAUAAAACCUUGGAAUUACAAUAGGUGUGUGGUGUUGUGUCUUAGAAUUUGAUUUCAACUUUGGUUCACAACUAGUCCUUUUGGAGUAGUAAUUCUUUAUUUCUUAACAUAAUUUUUAGUUUAGAAUAUUCUUAAUUAUUUUCUAAAAAUAUCUAUAUUACUUUUUUAAUCUACUUUUAUUUUUUAUUUUAUUUAUGGCCAUUUAAAUUAAAUAGAAGUUUUUUAUUUUUAUUUUUAUGAAAAUCAAUAUUAAUACUAAAUAUUUUUACUAUGUUUUUUUCUUUUACUUGUAUUUUGCUCUUAUGUUUUUCAAUAAGAAUCUUAUAUAAUAGAAUAUAUUUAUAUAUAUUUUUAUAAUAUAGUUGUGUUAUAACACAACAUUAUUACUUGUACCAAAAAGAGCAAUGUCAUACAUAAGGUGUAGGCAUAUAAGAGAGAGAUCAUGGUCUUUUUUUAAUAAUUAAUAGGCAAGCCAAGUAAUUAUAAUUAAGACAUGAUGCUACUUUUUUGCUUAAAUUUUAUCAUACUUAAGAUAAAAAUGAGAUUGAUAAGUGGUCCUCAUCUAUGAAACGAAUGAAAUAUCAACAUAGAUAUAUAAUAAAUUAACAUGGAAAUGCAUGGCUAUUAUAGGUGGCUGCUAUUAUAUCAAAAUUCAAGCAUUAGUUAUAUUCAUGGAAUCACUAUAUGAUGUCAACUCUAAAAGUAGCCGUGUGCCCUAUAUUGUAAAUAAGUUCAAAACCACAUCCAAUCAAGAUGGUCUUGUUGAAGAAUAGAAUAAGAUUUAUUCUACAUAGAAGUCAAUAAUAAGUGUAUCCUUCAUAUUAUAGCUCUAAAACAUGGACGUGAUUUUGGAUGUUUGAACACUAUAGAUAAGUUUCCACACUAUGAUGCAAUGUCUUUAGAGCAUUAAUAUUAAAGCAAUGAUAAAUAUGUUAAGUUUUGAUGUUCAAGAUAAAAAAAAAAAUUGAUCAAUCAAAUAGCUAGCAAGGAACUAAAACUGCAAUUAACAUGUUGGAAAAAAAAAUGAGCAACAACAAACAAUUUUUAGAUUGAAAGGUUCUAACGUAAAGAAGAAGAGUUCAAAAGAAUGACAACUUUGAAACCAUUGGUGAGUGGUAUUUUGAAUAAAAGAUAUUAUUCAAUUUGUUAAAUAAUUUUGAAUAAAUAUUUUUCUAAAUAAUUAAAUAAUCAUAAAAGUGAUUAUUUUAUCAUUUCAUUAUUAACUUGAUAUAUAAUAUUUAUUAUUUUUUGUAUAAAUAAUUAAUGGUAGAAUAUUGUGAUGGUUUUUAAACUAUUUUUUGAUCUUUAAAAAAAUCACUAUUUAAAAUAUGACAAAUAAUAUUUUAUAAAUUUAGAGAUAUUUUAUAUAAAUUAAAUUUAAUACUUAUGCAUGUUGGAGUACUAUUCACCAAAAUCUCUCUUUUGUGGAAAAUUCAUUUUUUCUUAUUUAUAAAUCUAACAUUAUUAUUCUCAACUCUUAUAUUAUUUUUUUCUUAUUUCUUAUUUCUUUAAUAUGAAGAUAAUAAUUUUUUUGUAAAUUAUAUAUAUAUAUAUAUAUAUAUAUAUAUAUAUAUAUAUAUAUAUAUGUGUGUGUGUGUGUGUGUGUGUGUGUGUGUCUGUGUGUGUGUGUUUAAAUAUUAAGUCUAGAAAACAAUUAUUUAAACUCCACUUUUUUGAUAGUCUAAAAAUGUGAAAAAUAAUAGAGAGAUUAUAUUAAUUUUUUAUUUUUAUAUUUAUACCAUCUUAAAUUUUAGCUCAUUAAAUAUUUUAUUGGCCUUUUUGUUUCACAAAUCUUAUUAAUACUUAGAUCAUGUCAUGUCUUAGACUAUCCUACCUACCUACCAUUCAAAAAUCCUAAAUAAAAUAUAUAUAUCUAAUUUAAAAUUUAAAAUUAAAAAUAUAAAAAAAAAUUAGAAACAUCUAUAUAAUCUAAGUUUCUUAUUAGACCAUUGGAAUAUCAAGAAUUAAAAUAAUAAAUUAAGAUAACUCAAAACUAAAAGAAAAAUAUAUCAAAAUAUUUUAGCAUAUCUUUGUAAUAUUAAAUCAUAAGAAUUAAAUCUUAUGUAAAAAAUAGACCUUUUAAUAAGUUGACUCUUGUGUAGUAAAAACACAUACUAUUCCAAAUCAGAUAUUCUAUGUAUAAUGUGAAAGAAGUCACUUCAAAUUAUUUAUUUUUUAUUCAAAAUGUAAAUAAGUAAAAAGUAAUAAAAUAAUUAGCUUUAUAAAAAUAAUAAUCUUAAAAAUAUUAAUCUAUUCUUUUAAAUAUCUAAUAACUCCUAAAAUAAAAAUAUAUUCAAAUUUGUGACUAAACUAUUAGAAAUAAAAAUAUUAAUUACAAAAGAUAAGACAAUUUAAGACUUAAAAAUAAAUAUGACAAAUUGAUUUAAGAUAUUAUUAUAUUUUAAAAUCUAAAUCUUUAAUUCAAAUAAAUUCUAAUUUAAAAUAUAUAUAUAUAUAUAUAUAUAUAUUAAAAUUUUACAUUACCACUAAAACUUCUUCGAUAACCUUUAAGAUUCUUCUAUUUGUUAAAUAAAACAUAAAGAAAUAAAGCAAUAACAUCUAAUCACUAUUCUAUUCAAAUAAAAGAAGCAAUAAAGUAAAUAGCAAUAAAGUUCUAUCUUUUACUUUAUUUAGUAGAUUUAAUAUAUUGGUAUUUUCCUUUAUUUGCAAAAUACACAAUUUCUUCUUUAGGUACAAUUAUUUUUUUGAAGAACUUGGUUAUGGAAAAAAAUUCUAAUUUUGUCUAUAACUUAGGUCCUGAGCUCUAGUUCAUAUCAUUGUACAAUGCCUUAUCUAUAAAACCUAUACAAAUUGUGCUCACAACUCCCAAAUUGAUCUCCUCCCAUUCUUUAUUAGUCUUUUCUAAAGAUUUCUUCUGUAACAUCAUAUACAAUCUUUGUUGCAUAUGCAAUUUUAUCUUCUUCUAGAAUCCUUAUUGCAGAAUCAAUUAUUUCACCUUCACAUGUCACAAAGAUUUGAUAUCACUUGAUGAAACUGAUUACAAAUAUGCAUUCAAUCGAGAAGACACAGAAUAAGAAGUAUGAUUUUGUCGGGAGUCCUCAAAUGUUGCACAACACCUUUGUAGUGUUAUAUGUAUAGAACUGCUGAAUAUAUCACAACUAGAAGCUUGACCGAGUUUUAAAUAGUUUGUGGAGUUACGAUUAUUCAUCAUAGUUGGAGUUGCCGAUCAACAUUGCAAGAAUCAAGAGAUCUGUAAUACUCUUUCUAGUUUUAGAAGUGGUGAUGAUGCUGGUGGCCUAAGCAAUUUAAUUAUGCAACUGAAAAAAAAAAAAAAAAAAAAAAAAAACUCUUUGGUAAGCACAGAAAAAGCAGAUUAGACAAUAGUAACAAUGAGUGAAGAAUUUUCUACUAUGCAAGUGAUCUGAAUGUGCUAAAGAAAUGCCUUGGUGUAUUCUAAAGGUUGAGGUAAUCGUUAUUGCCAUGAACUUAAAUCCACCACUAAGUUUUGUAGAUUCUAAUCACAUUAACAAAAGCAAGCGUUAGCAAAGCAAAAAUCAUUACAACGGAGAUCAGAUUCAAGGCUGACAAUCGAGCUUGAUAAUGAGCUCAUCAUCAAUUGAUUUUGGUCUUAAAUUCCACUGUUAAUGUCUCCCUAAUUCAUGUUGCUUCCAAAACUCUUCAAGUUCAUGAUUCCUUAGUUGCCAUCAAGGUGCUGAAGCUCAAUUAAUAUUAGUCAAUAACGACCUCUUUGAGCCUAUCGGUGAUUUCACAAUUCUUGAAGUUGUCCGAGCUGUUGAUGACCUCAACGUAUUGGUGAAUAUUCAGUAGUUCUUUCAGUUUGCAGUGAAUAACAGGGAGCAAAGAAUUGUAGUUGGAAAAAUCUCCACUAAAUUUAAUUUGACUAGUUUAUAAGGAUUUUAAACUACAAAAAGAUUGCAUGUUGUAUCCAAGAUUGUAAAAUAGCACCAAAGAAGUUGGUAAUCUACAUUUCAAGUGCACCACAAGGUUUAUCUUGGCAGCAAAAAAAUUAAAAAAUUAAAACAAUUAAAAAUUAUAAUCAACUUAUAAAGUAACAAAAAAAAUCAAAAUAUUUUAUUUUGAAUAUUUCUUAUGCAACAAAAUCAUAUUUUUCUUGUUUUAUUUUCUUUUUUAUUAUUAUUUAUUUAAUUUAUUUCUCAUGAAGAUGGUUACUUAUUUAUUUAUUUAUUUAUUUAUUAUAUUUUUAACUUUUUUAUCUAAAUCUAAAAUACAAUAUGGAAAUUGGAUUAUCAUUUUAUCAAAUAGAUUUCUUCUUAUUAUUUUUUGAUAUUAUCAUUUUCUAAAAAAUAUUUAUUUUUCUACCCCUAAUAUAUUAAAUUAUUUUAGUAAAAAUUAAAAAAUAAAGUGAAGUAUUUAAAGAACAUUAAAUAAUUUAAUAGAAUAUUUAUGAGAUCAUUAUAAAAACAUUAUAAUAUGAUUAUUACAUAUUAUAAUAAGCCAUAUUUAUUUUUUAAAAAAAGUGAUAACAAUUUAUAAAUACACAUCUUAUGUUAUUAGCAUAUUAGAUUUACUUUCUUUGUUUUCAAAAAAACCAAAAUUAAUUUUCAUAUUUAUUAUCGAAUAUGGUAUUUUAUUUUUAUUUUUGGUAACAGUAUUUUUUAACAUUAUUAUUAAAAAAAACUUAGAAAUUACACAACUUCAUGAAUAAAUCAAUGAAUUUUUUUAUAUUUUUCUUUUAAGUCAAAGUAAAAACAAAAUCAUAAUUUAAAAGUAAGUAUUAUAAUAUUUUUAAUCUAGAAUAUUCUUUUUUAAUAUUUCAUUUUUGUUCAAUACUUCUAUAAACUACAUAAUAAAAACAACUUGUCUUUCUUUAAAAAUAAAUUUUUUAUUAUUUUUUAAUUUCUAAUAUGUAAAUUUUUAAGAGUAUAGUCAAUCAUAUUAUUUUUUAAUUCUUAAAAAAAUUAAUGUGACUUUUAUAUAUAUAAUAUAUUUUAUCUAAGAUUGAAUUUAAAUUAUAAUAAAUUUAAAUAUAUUUUUGUAAGAAUUAAAACAACGGAAAUUAUAUUAAUAUGAAAUUAUAAAUAUAAAUUAUUACAAUAUUUAUAUUAGAAGUACCAAAAAUUAGUUAAUAAAUAAAAUUAAACAUAAAAAAUGAUAAAUUAUUUUAUUAGAAGUUAUUAUGACAUUGGUUGAAAUUAGUGAUUUAUUUCUAAAUAAUAAUCUAUUUAUAUAUAUUUAUAUAUAUAUAUAUAUAUAUAUAUAUAUAUAAAUAUAAUUAUUUAUUUUUAUAUUAUAAAUUUUAAUUCAUUUUAAUUUUUAAUAUUUAAUUUUUUUAAUAUUAGUUAGUAGAUAAAAGAAAGCAUAAAGAUAAACAUCAUGUCUUUUUAACUAAUUUUAUAUAAAAACAUAGGAUUUUUUACUCAUUUAAUUUUUUUAUUACUAUAAACAUCAACAAGGUAUAGAUAAGUAGUUUUAAAUUUAUUUUAUGAUUAAAAAUGAUUGGAGAUGUCUAUAAAUUUUAUCUAUAAUUUUUUUAUGAUUUUUUAGUAAUUUUUAGGAUUUUUUAGAUCAUAUUUUUAAGACAUUAGCAAAAAUGAUUUUACCACUUUUAACUCAAAUCUUUGAUCUUGAAAGACAAUAACUUUUGAGAUAAAAUCUAUUCAUCCGAUUUUUUUAUAUUAUACAUCUUCUCUUUUAAAGAAAAUAGAAUACAAAACUCUAAGUAAAAACAAAAAGAUAUAUUAAGUCAAAAUUAAAAAAUAAAGGUGUCAAAAGGAUAAAAAUAUCCAAGUAAUUUUAACUUGUAAAUCAUAAAUCAUAAAUCUUAAACUAAUCAUUGACUUUAAAAAAUAGCUAAAUCAGAUAAUUUAAGUACAUUGGUUUUUUGUACUAUUGUAUUUUAUAAACACAUCUUAUCUAUUGAUUUAAAACCUAUUUUAAAAGGUAUUAUUCUAAUAAUGCAAUGACCAUUUUCUUUGACAAUGAUAUCAAGCUUGAGCACCUUCUUACAGUAAUGUAAGACAAAGAUGUGAGGCUGCCCUACUCAUUUGGCAAAGAUGUCAAGCUUGAGCACCCCUCCAUAUUUAAGAUAAUCAAAGAUGUGAGGUUGUCCAAUUCAUUUGGCAAAGAUGUCAAGCUUGAGCACCCCUCCGUAUUUAAGAAAAACAAAGAUGUGAGGUUGCCCAAUUCAUUUGGCAAUGAUGUCAAGCUUGAGCACCAACUAAUAUUUAAGAUAGUCAAAGAUGUGAGGUUGCCCAAUUCAUUUGGCAAUGAUCUCAAGCUUGAGCACCAACUAAUAUUUAAGGUAGUCAAAGAUGUGAGGUUGCCUAAUUCAUUUGGCAAUGAUAUCAAGCUUGAGCACCCCUCCAUAUUUAAGGUAGUCAAAGAUGUGAGGUUGCCCAAUUCAUUUGGCAAUGAUGUCAACCUUGUGCACCCCUUUAUAUUUAAGGUAGUCAAAGAUGUGAGGUUGUCCAAUUCCUUUGGUAAUGAUGUCAACCUUGAGCACCUCUCAAAAUUUAAGGUAGUCAAAGAGGUGAGGUUGCCCAAUUCAUUUGGCAAUGAUGUCAAGCUUGAGCACUCCAUCAUAUUUAAGAUAGUCAAAGAUGUGAGGUUGCCCAAUUCAUUUGGCAGAGAUGUCAAGCUUGAGCACCAAUUAAUAUCUAAGGUAGUCAAAGAUGUGAGGUUGCCCAAUUCUUUUGGCAAUGAUGUCAACCUUGAGCACCUCUCCAUAUUUAAGGUAGUCAAAGAUGUGAGGUUGCCUAAUUCAUUUGGCAAUGAUGUCAAGCUUGAGCACCUUCCGAUACUUAAGGUAGUCAAAGAUGUGAGGUUGCCCAAUUCAUUUGGCAAUGAUGUCAAGCUUGAGCACUCCAUCAUAUUUAAGAUAGUCAAAGAUGUGAGGUUGCCCAAUUCAUUUGGCAGAGAUGUCAAGCUUGAGCACCAAUUAAUAUCUAAGGUAGUCAAAGAUGUGAGGUUGCCCAAUUCUUUUGGCAAUGAUGUCAACCUUGAGCACCUCUCCAUAUUUAAGGUAGUCAAAGAUGUGAGGUUGCCUAAUUCAUUUGGCAAUGAUGUCAAGCUUGAGCACCUUCCGAUACUUAAGGUAGUCAAAGAUGUGAGGUUGCCCAAUUCAUUUGGCAAUGAUGUCAAGCUUGAGCACCAACUAAUAUUUAAGGUAGUCAAAGAUGUGAGGUUGCCCAAUUCAUUUGGCAAUGAUGUCAACCUUGAGCACCAACUAAUAUCUAAGGUAGUCAAAGAUGUGAGGUUGCCCAAUUCAUUUGGCAAUGAUGUCAAGCUUGAGCACCUUCUCAAACUUAAGGUAGUCAAAGAUGUGAGGUUGUCCAAUUCCUUUGGCAAUGAUGUCAAGCUUGAGCACCUUCCGAUACUUAAGGUAGUCAAAGAUGUUAGGUUGCCCAAUUCAUUUGGCAAUGAUGUCAACCUUGAGCACCCCUCCAUAUAUAAGGUAGUCAAAGAUGUGAGGUUGCUCAAUUCAUUUGGCAAUGAUCUCAAGCUUGAGCACCCCCACAUAUUUAAGGUAGUCAAAGAUGUGAGGUUCUCCAAUUCCUUUGGCAAUGAUGUCAACCUUGAGCACCCCUUCAUAUUUAAGGAAGUCAAAGAUGUGAGGUUGCCCAAUUCAUUUGGCAUUGAUGUCAACCUGAAGCACCUCUCCAUAUUUAAGGUAGUCAAAGAUGUGAGGUUGCCUAAUUCAUUUGGCAAUGAUGUCAAGCUUGAGCACCUUCCGAUACUUAAGGUAGUCAAAGAUGUGAGGUUGCCCAAUUCAUUUGGCAAUGAUGUCAAGCUUGAGCACCAACUAAUAUUUAAGGUAGUCAAAGAUGUGAGGUUGCCCAAUUCAUUUGGCAAUGAUGUCAACCUUGAGCACCAACUAAUAUCUAAGGUAGUCAAAGAUGUGAGGUUGCCCAAUUCAUUUGGCAAUGAUGUCAAGCUUGAGCACCUUCUCAAACUUAAGGUAGUCAAAGAUGUGAGGUUGUCCAAUUCCUUUGGCAAUGAUGUCAAGCUUGAGCACCUUCCGAUACUUAAGGUAGUCAAAGAUGUUAGGUUGCCCAAUUCAUUUGGCAAUGAUGUCAACCUUGAGCACCCCUCCAUAUAUAAGGUAGUCAAAGAUGUGAGGUUGCUCAAUUCAUUUGGCAAUGAUCUCAAGCUUGAGCACCCCCACAUAUUUAAGGUAGUCAAAGAUGUGAGGUUCUCCAAUUCCUUUGGCAAUGAUGUCAACCUUGAGCACCCCUUCAUAUUUAAGGAAGUCAAAGAUGUGAGGUUGCCCAAUUCAUUUGGCAUUGAUGUCAACCUGAAGCACCCCCACAUAUUUAAGGUAGUCAAAGAUGUGAGGUUGCCUAAUUCAUUUGGCAAUGAUGUCAAGCUUGAGCACCAACUAAUAUUUAAGGUAGUCAAAGAUGUGAGGUUGUCCAAUUCAUUUGGCAAUGAUGUCAAGCUUGAGCACCCCGUCAUAUUCAAGGUAGUCAAAGAUGUGAGGUUACCGAAUUCAUUUGGCAAUGAUGUCAACCUUGAGCACCCCUCUGUAUUUAAGGUAGUCAAAGAUGUGAGGUUGCCCAAUUCAUUUGGCAAUGAUGUCAAGCUUGAGCACCCCUUCAUAUUUAAGGUAGUCAAAGAUGUGAGGUUGCCCAAUUCAUUUGGCAAUGAUGUCAGGCUUGAGCACCCCUUCAUAUUUAAGAAAGUCAAAGAUGUGAGGUUGCCCAAUUCAUUUGGCAAUGAUGUCAAGCUUUGGCAAUUUUCAAUAUUAAGAUCUUUUAAAGAAAUAAGACUUCCUAUUGAUGUUGGUAAUAAUUUUAACCUUUCACAAUAUUGUAAGUUAAGUAUCUUUAAAGAAGUCAUAUACUCCAAUUCAUUUGGUAGCAUAGUUAAGUUUGAGCAUCCUCCUAAGUCAAGUUCUAAUAAUGUGGUAAUUUUAUAAAAUAAAUUUGGAGGUAUUUCUAUAAAAGAACAAUUUCUCAAUUGCAACACAUUUAAACUCCCAAAUUUUUUCCAAACAUCUUUGUCAUGUAGCAUUUGCAAUGCUUUAUGUGCUUCUUCUUUUUUAAAUUCAUAUUCCAAUGGCAUGUUAAGUAGAAAACAUCUCAAAUUAAGAGAAUUCUUUACCAAGACAAAAAAUAUGCUUAAUAUCUUUAUCACAAUUUUAGGUGCAAAGACACCAAUAUUACAACUUAAAAAUUGAAGUGAUGAAAAAGAAGCACUUCUUACUUUGCCAAUAUUAUUAUUAUUUAUGUUGUUGUAAAAUAAUCCCUCCAACUGUAAAUCAACAUAAUUAAGUAUACAAAAUAUUAGAAUUUUCAUAUUAAUCAUACACUUAAUAUACAUACAAAUCUAAUUACAAUAGAAGAUUAUUUUUUUUACAUAGUAAUUUCACAUCAACAUACAUCUAAAGAAACAAAAUAAAAAUUACAUAGUAUAAAAACUAAAAAUUCCAUCCUUUAAAUGUUGAUUCUUUUAUAUUAUUAUCAAUUUUUUACAUGCAAUUUAUAUAAUAAUUUAGUAAAAUUACCUUGUUUGAUAAUCCAUAAAAUGGAUCUAUAUUCAAGUUCCACAUUCUUGUAUAUUUAUACUCCAUUUCUUCUUCAACAAUAUUCCUACUCAUGUCUCGUAGUUGAUCAUGUACUCUUAUAAUUCCAUCUUUGUCUAAUUUUAUCAAUGAUUGAUAAAUCAAUGUAUUUAAAGUAAAUUCCAUUUCAUGUUCCAAUAUGUUAUUUUGAUUAUUUACCCAUAUUCGCAAAGCUCUUUCUUUUGACAUGCCUUGUGGACAAACAUCAUUACAAAAGAAACAACAUAUGUCCAAAAACAUUUUCUUUUCUUCUACUUUCAAAUUGUCAAAGCUUACUCUUAAUAUCUUCCAAAUCUUGUAGUUACUAUUGUUUUCAUCUCCAUCCAACUUUCUUCCCCUUUUCAACUUUUGUAAAGCUCGCUCCCAACAUCUCAACCUUUUCUUCUCUCUUAAAAAUGCUCCCAUAACUUUUAGACUCAAUGGUAGGCCAUUACAAGCUCUUACAAUUUUUUUGCCAACCUCAACGAGUUCAAUGGGUAGACUUUUUUGGCCACAUGAAUGAGUAAUAAACAUCUUCAUACUUGUUUCUUCAUCAAGUUCUUCAAUAUUUAUUUUAUAAAUCUCUUUGCCACAAUCCUUCAUUACAUUUGAAUCUCGAGUUGUUGCAAUCAAUGUGCUACCAUUGCUAGCAAAUAUGUCAUCCAUAGGCACAACAUCUUCAAUUUGACUUUGAUUCUUUAUAUUGUCAAACACCAAAAUUGUUUUGUUCUUUGUUAAAAAUGAUUUUAAUAUUUUAUGAGCUUCUUUUACAUCUUUUGGUUUUUCUUUGACUUGAAAUUGUUCUAAGAUAUUGCAAGAAGUUGUAUAGCAAUCACCUCCACUUUCAAUGCACUCAACAAAGCAUGAGGCAUUAUACAUGUUUUUUACAUUAAUCAAUGUAGUCUUUGCUAUUGUGGUCUUGCCUAUUCCACCCAUUCCAACAAGAUACAAUACCUUCACUUUAUUUGCACAUAGUUUUCUAAUUUGGGAUAAAUAUUGUGCUCUACCAAAUAUUUCCUCUCCAGAUGAUUCAACCUACAAUUAACAAAUUUAACCACAAAUUAACAAAAAAAAUAAGAAUAAUACAUAUAUUACAUUUUAAUUUAGUCUUACUAACUUGAGUUCAUACAAAGGCAUGUAAACACCAUUAAUUUAAAGAAGAGUGAGAAAAAAACUAUAAAUAAUAAUUGAUACAUUUAAUCAAAGACAUAUUUACUUUGGUUUCUAGUAUAAGUCUUACCAAUGGCAAUUCAUUAUGUAUUGGCUGAAAUCUUUUGCUUUGAUGACAAUUCUUAUUUGAUUCUCCAAAAUAUGGUGCAUUUGCCACUUCAAUUCCAACUAAAAACUUUUUCUUUAUUAAGUCCAAUCUUUUACAAAUAUUUGCAAACUUUGGCCGAUGCAAAGGAUUCAACAUCCAACACUCUUGGAUAAGCUCAAUCAACUCAUUACAAUUUGAAGGUAACUUUGGUCUUUCACCUUUUUCAAUUCUUUCUAAUAUUGCUUCCAUCUUAUAAACUCCAUCAAAUGGGUCUCUUUUUGAAAGAAUCUUAGAGCAUACCAUUGCAAAUGAAUAAACAUCUGCUUCAAAAGGACACAUUGUUAUUGUUUCAAAUUUGCUUUUCAAUACCUCAGGGGCCAUAUAUGCAACAGUACCAUAAGGUACUUCAUUCUUUGUGGUUUCUGGAUUACUUCCAACUUCAAUCUUAGAUAUUCCAAAAUCUAUCACUUUCACAAUAGCAUGUUGAAUAACCUUAUUCAUAACUUUUAUCUCUAUGACAUUAACCAAAAUGUUUUGAGGUUUUAAAUCACGAUGUGCAAUGUGCAUGUCAUGCAAGUAACACAUCCCUUUUGCAAUUUGAUAUAUAAUAUCAAUAAGAAAAACAUAAGAUGUUUGCUUUGUAUUUUCCAACAUGUCAUUUAAAUUUGUUUGCAUCAAUUCCAUGCCAAUAUACAAAUAGUCUUUUUUAAAUACUAACUCAAAAGAUUCACCACUUUCAUUUGCAUGACCUUUCAUUGCAAAAUAAUAUGUUAUCAAGUUGGGGUGGCUUAAAUUGGCUAAAAUGGUCACUUCUCUUUUAAAAAACUUGUUAAAUGCAACAUCCAUCUUUUUGAUUGCACACAAAACUCCCAACCACUUUGAUUCAUAAACCGCUCCAAAACUUCCCUCACUUAUUCUUUUUAUGAAUUGAAGACUCUCUAUGUUAGAUGAUAGUUUUAAAUCAUCCAAUUCCUCAUCAUCUAUAUGAAGUAAAUCUUCUAAUCUUUUUAAUAGAUGAUUUGCUAGUCCACAAUAUUCAAAAUCAUCUAUUCCAUUUACAUUAUUCAACCUCUCAUAUACAACUUUAACAUCACCUUCUACUUCAUCAUAUGUUGCAACAUUAAAAGUAGCAAAUGAGAUGUCCUCAAGUUUUUUAGAAUAAUUCUUUAAAAGUAUAUCACUUGCUAUAUCACAACAACAUUUCAAAUCCAAAAGUAAUUCUCUAAAAGUCUCUUUGUUAUUUAAUUGAAGGAUAGCUUCUUUACACCAAUUUGGUCUUCCACAAUUUUCGACUAGAAAAAAAGAUUUAUUUAGUAUAAAAAACAACUCACUCAUUAAAAGCCUAAACUCCAAUCCACCAUUGGUGCAAGUCAUGAGGUGGUCAAAAACCUUAGUAACAUGUUCAAUUUUCUUACACAAAUGUGCACAUUGGUUUUUAUUCAAUAAGUUAUUUUUGUUUAAUAAAACCUCAAAUGCUCCAAUAUAAACUUCAGAUCCUUUCCAAGUAUCUCCAAAAAUACCUUGCAUACUUGAUAUUUUGUCAUAUUUUUCCAUGGUGCUUGAAAAUCUUGACAUGAAAAAACCAUGUAAAAAGCUCCAAAUCGUGAUUAUAUAAUACUUGAAUAAUUCCAAAAAAUAUUCCAUGAUGAAUUAAUGAAAAUCAAAUCCAAUUUCACCUUCUCACCACCUGUUGAAAAUUACAUAUUAGAUUUGUUUGGUAUUUCAAAAGUACUUAUCAAACACUCUUUCAACCAUAUUAUCCCACAAACCAUACAAUUUUCUAUCCUACAAAUUGAAUUUAUAUUUCUAAAGCUAAACCAUCAAUCUUAAAUAAUCCUAAUGGCUUGUCCUCACAAUAUUGAAAAUGUUGAUAUAUAUGUUCACUUGCUUAAGUGAAUGUAUUUAAGCCCAAAUGGUUCUUGUAAAGUAAGACCACUAAUCCUGCACAAAAUAAAGAAAAUUAAAUGUAAUAGUCAAUAACAUAUAGUUUAAGCACUUUUGAGAGGCACUAUAUUGCCAAUUGCACACAUAAUAAUCAAAAAACUUCAAUAGACAAAGCCACCACAACAAUAUAUAGAUAAUAAGAAUUCAAUAGGAAUGUAGACGCAUUGGAGAUGAUAAAUUCAAAGUAAUGUUUUUUUUACUAAUUGCUGAAUGCAUUUAGGAUAUGUAUUCCUAAAUGCAUAUCCUAAGUAUUUUAGCAAAUAUAACCAAGGAGCUUAAGAAGAAAUCGUACACAAAGAACAAAACCCGUAAUUCACUCCCAUCAUGUCACUACAUCACUCACCCAACAAGUAUGUAAUACGAGUUGGCGUACCCAUUCCAAAUGCAAAUGAUGCAUUUCUUACUAGUUGCUUGUUGUCAUUUUACCCAACUUAUAAAGGGUACUUGAAGAGAAUGCACGAGGGAUUGAGGUAAUUAGAAAACCAUUCAAACACUAUUUUUCAACCCAAUGAAUUAUGAGGCCUGUAAGGCUUGAAAUUUCAGGAUGUAAAUGGUUUAACCGUCACCUAAGUUGAUUUUCUCCUAUUAUUCCAAACAAACUACAUAGUUGUUUCGAUCAAUAUGGGGAGGAAGGUGCACCAGUUGAAUUGGAUAUCAAGCACGAUAAGCAAUUCUUGUUGAAUUGAGCUCCUACCUCAUAAAGGAUUAAGAUUCAAUAUCACCAGCUCAGAAUAUAGAUCGUUAUGAAGCCUGUAUCUUGUAUCUGGGCAGGCUUCGAGUCGCUUGCUGUUGCGGAUUCUUCAAAAUUAAUCUGUUGCUAAGGCGGAGGAUUGAUAACAGUCAUGGGCAUCACCACGUUGUCCGAUAAACGUCCCUGCAUCUCGCGAUGCUCCUGACAUAGUGCAUACCAGUGCAAACAGCAAUGGACGGUACACGGUUCGCAUGGACAGUUCUGCAGCAAUGGCACAUUAUACAAAUCAGCCACUAGCCGUGAUUAUGUCAUACUCAGUUCUUUGUCAACGGGAUAUACUACCUGGAAAUUGUGCAUAUACUACCCAUCCCCCAAAGCAUUAGGAUGGUAAAAUACGUGUCAUGAAUUCAUCAUAGACAAUCGAUUUACACACAGAACUAAAAACAAGAUUGUAUGAAAAUAAUUGACCUGGAGGUGGUAUCUCCUUUGUAACUCUUGCCGAAAUAAGCCUGCGUAUAUGCCACACAUCCACCACGCAAAGAACAAGGCUUCUGCUAUGAGAAAGGCAGCCUGGGGAUCUAUUCCAUGACUGCACAGUCAUCCAGAACGUAAAUUAACACAACUUUUGGCCGCUAUGUAGAGCACAAAGAAGGGCGGAAAUUCAUAUUACAUUCCAAACAGUCUGAAAACCAUGCAUGUGAUUGGAUGUCGAAUUCUGAAAAAUAUUCUCCGUUUCAAACAUACAGCUAUAGGCAUGAACUUGACAAACAUACAGUUAACCACAGCAACGAAAGUGACACGGUACAGAUCGAUAGACCCUCGUUCCCGAUAAAAAUUAAAAAAAAAGUACAUUCGCAAAAAAUAAAACAAAAUUGCAUGCAGACCCUCCUAACUAGAAACGAAGUGCUGAUGUCAUAACAGAUCAGCCUACGGUAACUUAAGUCUGAACUGGACCUAAGAAUAUGAAUUUGCAAAGUUGGACCUAAGAAUUGGGAACAAUCAAAAUUGAGAAGCAUGCGGCACACCAACCCGGGGCUGCAAAGAGAUCCCCAGAACGCCAUGAAAUCAGGCAAGUGGAGGAGUGUAAAGGAGUUAACAGACGAUGGAUAUGAGAUGGAAUGAGAAAGCAGGUUUGGAUGGGAAUUGUGAGAUCCGGAUUGCCGCACUGGAGGAGGGAGCACUGUGCAGAAACAAAGAUCGAAAGAGCAAGAGAAGAAAGGUGAGAAGAGCAAACAUACAUACCUGGGAGGGAGGGAGGCAGGCAGGCAGAGAAACGGAAGGCGAGGGAAGGGGCGGGUUCCAGUGCAAGUGGCGUGGUGGUGGAGAUGGCAGUGAUGCGUUAGAUUGCAGGCAUGGGGAAGGAAGGGCGUGGCGAGAGUCACGAGAGGAAUGAAGACGAAGGAAGAUGAGGAGGGCGGGGGAAAGGCAAAGGAGCGGAGGAGGACGAAGGCAGAGCAGAGUAGGGUUAGGGCUGGGGAGGAGAGGGGCAUCUCGGAAGCCGUCAACGCCACAAGACCCAGUGAGCCUCAGCCCAUGAUUCCACCCCCAUUCACACCUGUGAGUGAUCAUCAUGUAGUCUUGAUUUUAUUGUUGGUAUGUUAGUAUUGCCAAGUCUCCUUGGGUCACAAUUUGGAUAAGGUAGUCAACCCAUUGUUGACCACCCUUUCAUUUCUAAUAUAUUGGUUGAUCUAAUUUUGUUUGUCCAUUGACUAGAUUUGCUAUUUUAUUGAUUGGAAAUAAGUUGGGGUUGGUUAAAUUGAUGUUAAGAUGUAAGCAAUAAAUGUAAAAAAUUGUAUUUGGAAUGGAUAUGUAUGAAUUAUCAAUAGGUGGCAAUUGUUGAUUGGUUGGGGUGGAAUAAUAGUAUAAUUAGGUGCUACAUUUUUCUUAACAGCAUUAAUUGGUAUCAUACUUCUCUUGAUAGUAUUAAUAGAUGCUAAACUUCUCUUCAUAGCAUUAAUAGAUUCCAUAUACCAUGAUUUUGUAAAAAUUAGAUCUUUGGUUUUUGUUAUCCAACAUCAAUAGUAUAUAUAAGCUUGUAUAUCCAAAAUGUGUUGAAAAAAAUCUUCAGCUAAAACAUAUAUAUAAAUUCUCUUUUUAGAGCAAAUUAUAUGAAACUACUCAAAAUUCUUUUGAUUUUUAUUUUCUAUAUAUUGGAGUAUUUUUUCUAUUUUUAUACCUACUAGAUGUAUGAUGAAAUGCUUAAAUUAUUAGAAAUGAGUGUUCUACCUUAUAUCCUUUCUCCAUUGCAUACAUUUGCUAAGUUGCAUUGCUUUCCAACCCAUUAUGCAUAUCUUUCUAUAAUCAUAUUAAUAUUCUUAAUCAUUCUAAUAUCUUUGUUGUAUUAUGAGCUUAAUAUGAAUUAACAAUUAUCAAACAUUGCCUAUUGGACCUAAAUAAGUUUACAUCUAUAAAAUAGAUGGUAGAACAAAUUAUAGUGUAAAUAAGGUUUCUAUAUUAAACAAUACUAGUACAAAAAUUGUGGAUUUAACAACUAUAUGGAAAGAGCCUAUAAUAACUACAAGAAAGAAUAGAGAUGGGAUCAUGUAUAACAAACAUGAAGAUUGUAAGUGCAAAGAUGUUACACUAAAAUGUACAAAAAAAGAAAAUCUCAUCACCCAAGUUAGUUAUCCAGAUCAUAGAAUGGAUAUUAUUACAUUGCCAACAUCAAUGGAAAGAAAAAGAACAAAUGAAGUUUACCAACAAUAUCUAACAACUACUAAAUGACAGAAAAAUUUAAGUAAAUUACUGAUAACUCAAAAAUAGAAAAUAGUAUAAGGUAUGGUUUAGAUAGUUCAAGAUGUGAUGAAGACUUUUCAGCUAAGCAAGUUUAGUGGUUAUUAGAUCAUAUCAACAAUGAAGAGUAGAAGUGACAAUGCUAGAAAGUGCAAAAGAAGACAAGGAUAAAAUCCAUGAAACAAGAAGAAAGAUGAUACUAACAACUGAAGCAAUCUUAUGGUCUAUUUUCAAUGAUUUGCAACCUAGUUCUCCACAAAACCAACAUUGUAUUACAGAAUAGUUAAUUACUCCUAUCGAUCUCAGUAGAAAUAACAAAGAAUAUACAACCAAGGUAUCCAACGUGGGCGCUGACCGGAUAUCCGACGUAGGCACUGGAAGGGUAUCUAACGUGGGUGCUGGCCAGGUAUCCAACAUGGGCGUUGGCUGGGUAUCCGACACGGGUGCUGGCCGAGUAUUGAAUAUUGAUGCCACCACAUCAAAUCAGGCAACCCAAGAAGAAGCACAAGAGGGUUCAGUCCAUAAUCAUGAGUAUGAACCACGCAGGGAUUCCGCAGAGUUCACAGGUCUCGACCAGCAACCUCUUACGAAAUCAGACCCACAAACCAGAAAUUCACAAUAUCCAAGUACCUCGCGGAAAAACUCUGGGAGAGUAUGAGAUUGGCACUUUGGUGCAUAACAUUCAACGGGAGCACUCAUCAUCGGAUAUUUAUCCAAUCAAAUCAAAGGAUUUUGAUCAAGAUGCGCUUAUUAAUAUGGCUUGGGUUGAUACAAAAAACUUCGAAAUCUAUUGAACUACGAAACAAUUCGGUAAAUGGGUGAAUGGAUGUAAAAAUUCUGUCCUCCCAUCGUUUUUACCUCCACUGGUCCACUUGGAGUUCUUUACCGAUUGGAAUCCGGAAGUCACUUUCGGAGCAAAUUUUAAAGCAAUGAUCAAAAUUGACUGUUCACUCCAUGGUGACGAUACGUUUUGUACCCUGACAAAGCAUGUUGGUCAAGAGCUGCUGCUUCAAGCACCUCGUGAUCAAAUUUUCCGUGAAUGUAUAUUAGGACACCCUACAAAACCCAGUUUCAAAGGUCUUGGUGUCGACAUACACACUAACACAGCAUGCCGAGAAGCAAUUUAACAUAAUAUAGUACCACCAAGACCGCGAAGAGCAACUCAAUGGGAUUUAAAACUAACUGCAAAAUCUAUGAGGUACCCAGUAGGAACGAUCCUGCAAUCUCGACGCCUCCAUAUAAAUCACCGGGCCGACUUCGUCACUAACAGCUCAUCAUUCCACGCCCAGCCUUAGCAACACUCAAAUUUCUAUAAUGCAAUCCCCAAACGAUACUUCCAACGACAUCCCUACAGGUAUGACUCCAAUGACAAGCCUAUCAUGCGAGAAGACGACAAGGGGACUCGGUUUUAUGGGGUCACAGGUGGCCUCAACGGCCACUCAUCCACCCCAUCCAGGGAUAGAAGGGAGGAGAAUGGUUUCCGCGGCCAACCA
RNAcentral lists this long non-coding RNA (40308 nucleotides) under Physcomitrium patens. Its description in RNAcentral is "long non-coding RNA (PPAT_LNC008229)". The record is from RNAcentral. Lineage: Eukaryota; Viridiplantae; Streptophyta; Bryopsida; Funariales; Funariaceae.